RNAcentral lists this long non-coding RNA (2289 nucleotides) under Monodon monoceros (narwhal). RNAcentral describes it as "lncRNA (ENSMMNG00015002657.1)". Lineage: Eukaryota; Metazoa; Chordata; Mammalia; Artiodactyla; Monodontidae. The record is from RNAcentral.
AUGACCAUCCCGGCAGUGCACUGCAGGUCCCCCUUGUCCUCCCAGGACGUUCCCAGCUCUCUGUGGACUUCUGCUCAGGGGAGAUGCUCGCGCCAGACAGUGCCAGGGACUUGGGUGCCACUGUGGAAGGGGAGGAAGCACCUGAAGAGGACAGAGAAAGGUGGCAGAAGACGGAGCUGUUUGUCAAGGAGAGCUUCGAGGCCAAGGACGAGCUAUUCCCAGAAAAGUCAGAAGAGUCGAGUCUCCCGGAGGAGCUGCCUGUGGAUGCUGACGGGGAGCCAGGAGUGGCGCUCCCUGCCAAGGCCCCGCCACCGAGCCCCGGAGCUGCCUGGGAAGAAUCAGCUCCCCAGACGGUGGCCACUGAAAGUGCAUCAGGUACAGAGCUCUGUGGAGCUGAAGAUUUGGAAGCCAUCAGACUGGAGACGAAGGAGAAGCUCUUCAUCGAUGUGCGUAAUUGGUGCAUCUGCAGAGAAGUAUCUGCGGUACAGCCGGUAUCAGAUCAGGCACAAAACCUCCAAAUCCUCGCUGCCCAGAGUGUGGCCCUUGGGCCAGCAGGCAUGGUCUCCCCUGAGGGCUGCUCAGAAGGCGGAACCCCGGGCCCCACCCCAGACCCACUGCUCAGGACCUGCAGUUAAUAAGCCCUCCCCCAGGGGCGUCUGUGUCUGUGCCCCUUCAAGACUGAGAAGUGAUGGCCCAGGCUGAGUCCCCUUGAACUACAUCUACAAAACUCUUGCCGUGUUUUCCCCGAGGAAGCUACACUGAGCGCAGCUCCGUCUGGCGAGCCUCUCCCUCUGUGGACAGCUGCCCGUCUUCCUGGCCUGACUGUCCAGCGGCCCGCCCCCUGGGGCUUGUUCAGUGAGGGGCCGCCUGACCUUGGGACUGAUCACAGCCCGGAGCACGGCCCUCCUCCCUGAAGCCCUUCCACUCUGAUAACAGUCUGACAUGCUGUGCCCACAGGAAUGGGUCUCUGGGGACGUACACACUUUGCCAUGACCCCCGGGAACGGUGCUUUGGUGGGGCGAGGGGUGGGGGCCGGCGACCCCCACCUGUAGCCUCACACCCUGCUCGCCCGGAGGACGGCCCGCCUCUCUGCCCACGAGUGAGCUCCUUCUGUUCAAGCCUGUGUGCAGCUUCGCCUGCCCUCGCCCGCUUCUUCUAUAAACUCCUACACGGGUGUUUCAUUCCCAACCUCACAAUUUCACGUGGCUCAAUAAGUGUUCAACUGCGUGCAGCCAAUAUUCAGAGUGGGUUUCUGGUUUUCUGGGCCUGCACAUACGUAUGACAAAAACAAAAGUGGGCAAUUCUUCCCUAACAUUUGAUAACUGACCGUAUACAGGACCCCAACACUAAGCUGGCACUGACCUUCCUCUUUGUCCGGCACUAUUUUAAACACAUCUUGUUAUCGAUUGAUUUAACCCUUCCAAUAACUCUAAGACAUAGGUACCAUUGUCAUCCCCAUUUUACAGAUGAGGAAAUUGAGAAAUACAGAGGUUAAGCAACUUGCCCGAGGCUCCACAGCCAGGCAGCGUGGCUCCAGGGCCCACACAGCUAACCACAGCCCGCGCCUGCCUCACACGCUGGACGGGGUGCUAUAGAUGGAGAUACCCCGAUACACAACACAAAACAGAAAAACCCCCCUAGUCUGGGGGAGGUCCAAAAUAGACUCGUUUUAUGCCACAGAGUCCUAAGACAAAUUUGUGUGCAGGAGGUACGUCUCCCCACAGAUGAACGGGGCGAGUAACACCAAAGUGAAGUGGAGAAAGAGGCGGAAAUUUCUGAAACAUGUCACACCUUGCAAAUCUCUUUCACUGAUCAGAUCCAGGUACCUGGUGUUGCCUCGUGCGUGUGUUUCGAGCGUGCACGUGGCCUGAGUGGUCUGGGUCACUCUGCGGGCCCCUCCACACUCCGAGCACGUAGCGCAGGCUUGGUUAGCUGUGUGGCCGCGUCUGUCCCGUGGACUGGGCGUUGGGAGCGUGCCCUCCUGCUGACGGGGAUCGUUUUCUCUUCCAGGACCUGCCUGACUUGGAAGACGUGGAUGCAGGCGGAUCUCCGGGAGACCAGCACGAGGUGACCUCUCACACAUCCCCCCAGCCCCACCUUCCCUUCCAGCCCUGUCACUGACCAAGUGUCUCGGAAAGCUGCAUGCCCUUUGUGCUUGAAGCCUCCUCACCUCACCUAAGGAAAUGCGGCUGUUUACUGCUGCUCCCCUCUCUGAGGUUUCACAACUACCCACUUCGGUUUUUUUGAACAGAUCUUUUAUCACUGAUUUUUAAUAAUCAUGUUCUGUAU